This 105-nucleotide small nuclear RNA is filed under the name Jaculus jaculus (lesser Egyptian jerboa). The record is from RNAcentral. Lineage: Eukaryota; Metazoa; Chordata; Mammalia; Rodentia; Dipodidae.
GUGCUUGCUUCGGCAGCACAUAUACUAAAACUGGAAUGAUACAAAGAUUAGCAUGGCCCCCUGCACAAGGAUGAUACACAAAUUCGUGAAGCGUUCCAUAUUUUU